RNAcentral lists this long non-coding RNA (237 nucleotides) under Gossypium barbadense (sea-island cotton). RNAcentral describes it as "long non-coding RNA (GBAR_LNC011722)". Lineage: Eukaryota; Viridiplantae; Streptophyta; Magnoliopsida; Malvales; Malvaceae. The record is from RNAcentral.
UUGAUUUGGAGUUUCGUAGCUCCAGUUAUAAAUGAUUUAGUGACUGUUGCUCAGGAAGACAGCUUGCAGUGAAAUUAUGAUUAUGUGGUAAACAUUAACAAAAAUUUGUUAAUGAGUUGCUUAUUGUUUUCUUAUAAGCUUACUAUGAUCUGUAGGUGUGGUUGGCCGAAUAUUGUAAGGGGUUAAUACGUAGUUCGUAUUUGAAUAGUUAGAUUAACGUGUUAGUAAUCCAAUUGU